Molecule: long non-coding RNA, 212 nt
Filed under: Mytilus galloprovincialis (Mediterranean mussel)
Lineage: Eukaryota; Metazoa; Mollusca; Bivalvia; Mytilida; Mytilidae
Source: RNAcentral
AAAAAAAAACUGUUAUAGAUGACCAAACUGUUACAUGUAUUUUAAAAGGUUUUCCUCAACGUGAGGAUUGUUGAAGAAAUAAACUUAAGAAAAAUCAAACAAUGCUACAUGUUCAUCCGCCUGUCGAUCAGGACUACAGUCAGAAACCUAAUAUCAGUGGUGUACAUACAUGUUGAUCAUAUUUAGAAUAUUUUAUCCCCCUUCCCUCCCCC